UGGGGAAUAUUGCGCAAUGGGGGAAACCCUGACGCAGCAACGCCGCGUGAGCGAUGAAGGUCUUCGGAUUGUAAAGCUCUGUCUUUGGGGACGAUAAUGACGGUACCCAAGGAGGAAGCCACGGCUAACUACGUGCCAGCAGCCGCGGUAAUACGUAGGUGGCAAGCGUUGUCCGGAUUUACUGGGCGUAAAGAGUAUGUAGGCGGAUAUUUAAGUCAGAUGUGAAAUUCCCGGGCUUAACCUGGGCGCUGCAUUUGAUACUGGGUAUCUAGAGUGUGGGAGAGGAAAGUGGAAUUCCUAGUGUAGCGGUGAAAUGCGUAGAUAUUAGGAGGAACACCAGUGGCGAAGGCGGCUUACUGGACUGUAACUGACGCUGAGGCUCGAAAGCGUGGGGAGCAAACAGG
RNAcentral lists this ribosomal RNA (404 nucleotides) under uncultured prokaryote. Its description in RNAcentral is "bacterial SSU rRNA". It matches the Rfam family "Bacterial small subunit ribosomal RNA", at positions 355 to 776 of the family's 1533-position model. The record is from RNAcentral. RNAcentral also lists the same sequence under 1 other name.